UGAAGUACUUUUGACAAGAGUAAAUGAGAGACUGGGUGUGUAGAUUUGUUGCGAGUAGAGUCUAGAGGAAAGGUUUGUGGUGUGGGAUACAGAUAUGAAUUCCAGAAAUAUGCGGUCUGCAGGCUGGACGGGACCUGAAGGGUCAGAAUGUGCUAUUCCUGUGCUAUCCGAGACCUGUCUAUCCAGAAGGACAGGCACACACGGAUAGAUAGACAGGUAGACAGAUAGAUUCGCUAUGUAUUAUCUCAUGUAAGAGUCCUUUGCUGAGUCUCUUUGUAUAUUCCAGACCCCCUUGCCCAACUGACAGACUCACUAUGGGCUCUUAAUCAUAUACCUGAGGGUAGGAGAUUCUGAAACCUCUUUAUAGCACUGUGCAAAUACACAGCAGUACUUUGGUGACGGCACCAAGCUGACCGUGCUCGGUAAGUUUUCUCCAGGCCAUUGUGUUUCCUAUGCCAAAGAGGUUCCUUUAGUUAGGGGACUUCAGAGUAGGGUCAAUUGAAAGCUUCAGGAGGCAGGAUUAAACGAAUGUACUCACUUGGCUAAAAGGCAGCUUAGGGAGAGCAUGAGAACCAUUCACAAAGGUGCAGAGAGGCAAAAGAGCCCCUGUCCUCAGGCAGGCUGCCAGGGCUGGGACAAAACCUGAGAGAAUGGACUGUAAGGAAGAGAGGAGCUCUUCUCUGUCUCUUACUCCUCUAAUCUGAAUCCAACAUGCACAUCCCAAAACAUUGGCAAGCAUUAGACAGGCCGACUUUUUGCCAGAGUAGAUUCAGGACUUGAGGAAGGGGGGAAAAAGAAUAUAACUGUACAAAAAGAGUACAAGAAACAGCAGCCUCCUAGGAGGAGGGUAUGUGUUUGCAGGUAGUGGUUCUAUCACUGUGUUCAUACUCUGAAGCGUACUUCGGCGAGGGCACCAAACUCACCGUGCUAGAGGAUGGGCUCAAUAUCACAGAGCCUGAAGUGGCCAUCUUUGCCCCAUCACAGAAAGAGAUCAAAGAGAAGAAAAAGGCUACGCUGGUGUGUGUGGCCACAGGCUUCUACCCCGACCACAUCAAGGUGACCUGGAAGGUCAAUGGUGGUGAGAGGACAGAGGGUGUGGGGACAGAUGAGCAUGCCACCCGGGACAACCAAACAAAGAUGUACUCCCUGACCAGCCGCCUGAGGAUCCCCAGCCAGGAGUGGUUCAACCCCAAGAACAAUUUCCAGUGUCUUGUCAGCUUCUAUGGCAAAGAUCCAACACCAAAAAGAUAUCCUAAAGCCAUUCAAGGUGUAGCAGGUUGCAGUGUCACUGAAGAGUUGUACCAGAGAAGUUCCAGAACUGGGUAUUUUGUGUACCUGAUGCUUUUUUUCAAGAGUAUCUUGUAUGGGUUGUUUGUGAUGGGGCUUAUACUACGGAGCAAGAAGAUGCACUAGAAGCUCACUUUCAUAAAGAAGCAGGCCAGAGCCUUCGUACAGGGCUACAUAAUGGAGAAGAUGCACGUACACCAGCCCCACAACUCCUGUUUGUUUCAG
Alligator mississippiensis (American alligator) is the source of this 1512-nucleotide non-coding RNA. Lineage: Eukaryota; Metazoa; Chordata; Crocodylia; Alligatoridae. The record is from the annotation of a RefSeq genome assembly.